CCUACGGGGGGCAGCAGUGGGGAAUAUUGGGCAAUGGGCGCAAGCCUGACCCAGCAACGCCGCGUGAAGGAAGAAGGCCCUCGGGUUGUAAACUUCUUUUGUCAGGGACGAAGCAAGUGACGGUACCUGACGAAUAAGCCACGGCUAACUACGUGCCAGCAGCCGCGGUAAUACGUAGGUGGCAAGCGUUAUCCGGAUUUACUGGGUGUAAAGGGCGUGUAGGCGGGGAAGCAAGUCAGAUGUGAAAUUCCAGGGCUCAACCCUGGAACUGCAUUUGAAACUGCUUUUCUUGAGUACUGGAGAGGCAGACGGAAUUCCUAGUGUAGCGGUGAAAUGCGUAGAUAUUAGGAGGAACACCAGUGGCGAAGGCGGUCUGCUGGACAGCAACUGACGCUGAGGCGCGAAAGCGUGGGGAGCAAACAGGAUUAGAUACCCGUGUAGUC
Molecule: ribosomal RNA, 443 nt
Filed under: uncultured bacterium
Lineage: Bacteria
Description: partial 16S ribosomal RNA
Rfam family: Bacterial small subunit ribosomal RNA
Source: RNAcentral